AAGGCAAGUCGUUCUAUCGCCCCGCGUUAAACCGGGGAGGAAAGUCCGGGCAACACAGGGCAUUCUGCUUCCUAACAGGAAGGAUUCGUGAAAGCGGAGACGGAAAGUGCUACAGAAAAUAAACUACCUCAGCCUUAGGGUUGGUGGAAAAGGUGAAAACGUGAGGUAAGAGCUCACGGUCUUUCCGGGCGACCGGAAUUUCGGUAAACCCCAGAAGUUGAAAGACCAAAUAGGUUUCGGAAGUGAAGCUGCCCGCUUACUUAUGCCGCACGUCGGUAUUAUCCGGAAUGGGUAGGUCGUUAGACCGCGUGAGCGAUUGCGCGGCUAGAUAAAUGAUAGAAAUCCCGAGUAUUCGGGAUACAGAACCCGGCUUACAGGCUUGCAUUUUUA
This 390-nucleotide RNase P RNA is filed under the name Pedobacter sp. RNAcentral's name for it is "RNase P RNA component class A". It matches the Rfam family "Bacterial RNase P class A". From Rfam's summary of the family: Ribonuclease P (RNase P) is a ubiquitous endoribonuclease, found in archaea, bacteria and eukarya as well as chloroplasts and mitochondria. Lineage: Bacteria; Pseudomonadati; Bacteroidota; Sphingobacteriia; Sphingobacteriales; Sphingobacteriaceae. The record is from RNAcentral.